AGGGUUCGAUUCUGGCUCAGGAUGAACGCUGGCGGCGUGCCUAACACAUGCAAGUCGAGCGGAGAUAAGUGAAGCCUAGCGAUUCUUAUCUUAGCGGCGGAUGGGUGAGUAACACGUGGGUAACCUGCCCUGCACUGGGGAAUAACAGCUGGAAACGGCUGUUAAUGCCGCAUAUGCGCACGGAGCCGCAUGGCUUUGGGCGGAAAGAUUUAUCGGUGCAGGAUGGGCCCGCGCCGGAUUAACUAGUUGGCGGGGUAACGGCCCACCAAGGUGAUGAUCCGUAGCCGACCUGAGAGGGUGACCGGCCACAUUGGGACUGAGACACGGCCCAAACUCCUACGGGAGGCAGCAGUGGGGGAUAUUGCACAAUGGGGGAAACCCUGAUGCAGCGACGCCGCGUGAAGGAUGAAGUAUUUCGGUAUGUAAACUUCUAUCAGCGGGGAAGAAGAUGACGGUACCCGACUAAGAAGCCCCGGCUAACUACGUGCCAGCAGCUGC
This 498-nucleotide ribosomal RNA is filed under the name uncultured bacterium. RNAcentral describes it as "bacterial SSU rRNA". It matches the Rfam family "Bacterial small subunit ribosomal RNA", at positions 8 to 518 of the family's 1533-position model. The record is from RNAcentral.